CACACGACUCUCGGCAACGGAUAUCUCGGCUCUCGCAUCGAUGAAGAACGUAGCGAAAUGCGAUACCUGGUGUGAAUUGCAGAAUCCCGCGAACCAUCGAGUCUUUGAACGCAAGUUGCGCCCGAGGCCNUCCGGUCGAGGGCACGCCNGCCUGGGCGUCACG
This 163-nucleotide ribosomal RNA is filed under the name Cinnagrostis viridis. RNAcentral describes it as "5.8S ribosomal RNA". It matches the Rfam family "5.8S ribosomal RNA". Rfam says of the family: 5.8S ribosomal RNA (5.8S rRNA) is a component of the large subunit of the eukaryotic ribosome. It is transcribed by RNA polymerase I as part of the 45S precursor that also contains 18S and 28S rRNA. The record is from RNAcentral. Lineage: Eukaryota; Viridiplantae; Streptophyta; Magnoliopsida; Poales; Poaceae.